Molecule: ribosomal RNA, 480 nt
Filed under: uncultured bacterium
Lineage: Bacteria
Description: bacterial SSU rRNA
Rfam family: Bacterial small subunit ribosomal RNA
Source: RNAcentral
AUUGAACGCUGGCGGAAUGCUUUACACAUGCAAGUCGAACGGUAGAGGGGGCAACCCCUUGAGAGUGGCGAACGGGUGAGUAAUAUAUCGGAACGUGCCCAGUCGUGGGGGAUAACGUAGCGAAAGUUACGCUAAUACCGCAUACGAUCUACGGAUGAAAGCGGGGGACCGUAAGGCCUCGCGCGAUUGGAGCGGCCGAUAUCAGAUUAGGUAGUUGGUGGGGUAAAGGCCCACCAAGCCAACGAUCUGUAGCUGGUCUGAGAGGACGACCAGCCACACUGGGACUGAGACACGGCCCAGACUCCUACGGGAGGCAGCAGUGGGGAAUUUUGGACAAUGGGCGCAAGCCUGAUCCAGCAAUGCCGCGUGCAGGAAGAAGGCCUUCGGGUUGUAAACUGCUUUUGUACGGAACGAAACGGUCUGGGUUAAUACCCUGGGCUAAUGACGGUACCGUAAGAAUAAGCACCGGCUAACUACGUG